CGGGUGAGUAAUGUAUGGGGAUCUGCCUGAUGGCGGGGGAUAACUACUGGAAACGGUAGCUAAUACCGCAUAAUGUCUGCGGACCAAAGCGGGGGACCUCCGGGCCUCGCGCCAUCAGAUGAACCCAUAUGGGAUUAGCUAGUAGGUGGGGUAACGGCUCACCUAGGCGACGAUCCCUAGCUGGUCUGAGAGGAUGACCAGCCACACUGGAACUGAGACACGGCCCAG
Molecule: ribosomal RNA, 228 nt
Filed under: uncultured bacterium
Lineage: Bacteria
Description: partial 16S ribosomal RNA
Rfam family: Bacterial small subunit ribosomal RNA
Source: RNAcentral